GAUGAACGCUGGCGGCGUGCCUAAUACAUGCAAGUCGAGCGAACGGACGAGAAGCUUGCUUUUCUGAUGUUAGCGGCGGACGGGUGAGUAACACGUGGAUAACCUACCUAUAAGACUGGGAUAACUUCGGGAAACCGGAGCUAAUACCGAAUAAUAUUUUGAACCGCAUGGUUCAAAAGUGAAAGACGGUCUUGCUGUCACUUAUAGAUGGAUCCGCGCUGCAUUAGCUAGUUGGUAAGGUAACGGCUUACCAAGGCAACGAUGCAUAGCCGACCUGAGAGGGUGAUCGGCCACACUGGAACUGAGACACGGUCCAGACUCCUACGGGAGGCAGCAGUAGGGAAUCUUCCGCAAUGGGCGAAAGCCUGACGGAGCAACGCCGCGUGAGUGAUGAAGGUCUUCGGGUCGUAAAACUCUGUUAUUAGGGAAGAACAUAUGUGUAAGUAACUGUGCACAUCUUGACGGUACCUAAUCAGAAAGCCACGGCUAACUACGUG
This 497-nucleotide ribosomal RNA is filed under the name uncultured bacterium. Its description in RNAcentral is "partial 16S ribosomal RNA". It matches the Rfam family "Bacterial small subunit ribosomal RNA", at positions 28 to 507 of the family's 1533-position model. The record is from RNAcentral.